This 255-nucleotide long non-coding RNA is filed under the name Monodelphis domestica (gray short-tailed opossum). RNAcentral's name for it is "lncRNA (ENSMODG00000050826.1)". Lineage: Eukaryota; Metazoa; Chordata; Mammalia; Didelphimorphia; Didelphidae. The record is from RNAcentral.
GUGCUAGUUAUACAAAAGACAAUCCUGAAAAUAGUCCCUGCUUUCAAGGAGUUUAUAAUCAACUGGAAUAUUUGGAGGGACUCAAAGAGCCUCUGUUUCAAUUACGCUUCCAGAAAAUCUCCUGAGGUCCCUCCCCUUGUUGUGGCUGAGACUCCUUCAAUUUCCCAGACUGUAACUCCAGUUCUAUGGUUUGAAACCUCUAUCACACCAUUUAUAAGACAUACUGCUGAAGACAGAGGAAAUGUUUUGAAAUAG